GUGGGGAAUAUUGGGCAAUGGGGGCAACCCUGACCCAGCGACGCCGCGUGAGGGAAGAAGGCCUUAGGGUCGUAAACCUCUGUUGUGUGGGAAGAAGGAAGUGACGGUACCACACGAGGAAGUCCCGGCUAACUACGUGCCAGCAGCCGCGGUAAUACGUAGGGGACGAGCGUUGUCCGGAAUUACUGGGCGUAAAGGGCGCGUAGGCGGUCAUUUAAGUCAGCUGUGAAAUGGUCCGGCUCAACCGGAUCAUGCGGUUGAAACUGGAUGACUGGAGUGCUGGAGAGGCAAGUGGAAUGCCCAGUGUAGCGGUGAAAUGCGUAGAUAUUGGGAAGAACACCGGUGGCGAAGGCGACUUGCUGGCCAGCAACUGACGCUGAGGCGCGAAAGCCAGGGGAGCAAACGGGAUUAGAUACCCGAGUAGUCC
RNAcentral lists this ribosomal RNA (427 nucleotides) under uncultured bacterium. Its description in RNAcentral is "partial 16S ribosomal RNA". It matches the Rfam family "Bacterial small subunit ribosomal RNA", at positions 354 to 796 of the family's 1533-position model. The record is from RNAcentral.